RNAcentral lists this ribosomal RNA (207 nucleotides) under uncultured Gammaproteobacteria bacterium. RNAcentral's name for it is "uncultured gamma proteobacterium partial 16S ribosomal RNA". It matches the Rfam family "Bacterial small subunit ribosomal RNA", at positions 568 to 774 of the family's 1533-position model. The record is from RNAcentral. Lineage: Bacteria; Pseudomonadati; Pseudomonadota; Gammaproteobacteria.
CACGCAGGCGGUUAGAUAAGUCAGAUGUGAAAGCCCCGGGCUCAACCUGGGAACUGCAUUUGAAACUGUCGAACUAGAGUCUUGUAGAGGGGGGUAGAAUUCCAGGUGUAGCGGUGAAAUGCGUAGAGAUCUGGAGGAAUACCGGUGGCGAAGGCGGCCCCCUGGACAGAGACUGACGCUCAGGUGCGAAAGCGUGGGGAGCAAACA